This is a non-coding RNA of Candidatus Staskawiczbacteria bacterium, 86 nucleotides long. The record is from Rfam. NCBI's taxonomy places the organism in Bacteria, Candidatus Staskawicziibacteriota.
GGAGGAGUGCGGCGAAUUGGUAAGCCAACAUCCUGCUAAGAUGUAACUCCGCAAGGGGUUUGUGGGUUCGAGUCCCACCUCCUCCG